CCGUAGGUGAACCUGCGGAAGGAUCAUUACCGAGUGAGGGUCCCUCGGGGCCCAACCUCCCAUCCGUGUUGUCCUGACACCUGUUGCUUCGGCGGGCCCGCCGUGGUUCACGCCCCGGCCGCCGGGGGGUUCACGCCCCCGGGCCCGCGCCCGCCGAAGACCCCUGGAACGCUGCCUGGAAGGUUGCCGUCUGAGUAUACAAUCAAUCAAUUAAAACUUUCAACAACGGAUCUCUUGGUUCCGGCAUCGAUGAAGAACGCAGCGAAAUGCGAUAAGUAAUGUGAAUUGCAGAAUUCCGUGAAUCAUCGAAUCUUUGAACGCACAUUGCGCCCCCUGGCAUUCCGGGGGGCAUGCCUGUCCGAGCGUCAUUGCUAACCCUCCAGCCCGGCUGGUGUGUUGGGCCGCCGUCCCCCCUCCCCGGGGGACGGGCCCGAAAGGCAGCGGCGGCGUCGCGUCCGGUCCUCGAGCGUAUGGGGCUCUGUCACACGCUUCAGUAGAACCGGCCGGCUUGCUGGCCAUCACCUAUAUUUUUCUCUUAGGUUGACCUCGGAUCAGGUAGGGAUACCCGCUGAACUUAAGCAUAUCAAUAAGCGGAGGA
Molecule: ribosomal RNA, 598 nt
Filed under: Paecilomyces variotii
Lineage: Eukaryota; Fungi; Ascomycota; Eurotiomycetes; Eurotiales; Thermoascaceae
Description: eukaryotic LSU rRNA
Rfam family: 5.8S ribosomal RNA (bases 215-368)
Source: RNAcentral